Dromaius novaehollandiae (emu) is the source of this 722-nucleotide long non-coding RNA. RefSeq lists it as uncharacterized. The transcript has 3 exons. Lineage: Eukaryota; Metazoa; Chordata; Aves; Casuariiformes; Dromaiidae. The record is from RefSeq and is a predicted model, not a curated record.
UAGCAGGGAGGUAAUCUGAGGAAGGUAUCACUUUCGUGUCCUCUUCCAGGAAUGCAGAAUUCCUUGUCCAGAGUAAUCAGUCUUGCACCAUUCAGCAAUGCUGCAUUCAUCUGAAAAACAAAGGUAAGUUGUAUUUAAUUUUAUUUUAUGAAGCUUUUCUGGGAAUGAAGGCUGGACUGCACAGGAAACUGAGGCACAGCAAUGACCACUGCAUAUGUUGUUUUCUCUUGUUGCUCUUUCAACCACAAUCUUAUCUCUCACUUUUAUCUGAGGGAGGUCUCUAUCGGAGUGUCACACCUCUUUCUUUUUUAUUUUCUAGCUAAUAGCCUUCCUUUAUAACUUCUCAAAAGCUAAAAUAUUUGUUAAACUUUUUCCAUCAUGGACCAUGUUUUUAAGUAGGUGACCACAAGUGACUCUAUUCUAUAUAGCAUCUUGGCAGCAAAAAUGGAGCAAAAAGAAAAUGCUGAAGAGUGUUCCUUACAAGCACGUUAUCAAAGAAACAAAGCAAUCCCAAAAGUGGAUUUUAGAAAAUGGAAAGGAGCACACAUGGAAAAAGGCUUCAGACAUUUCAGAAGGCUGGAGCCCUCGGACUGGUGUAGCAGCAGCGGAGCAGUGUCACCACCCCUCUCCUUGCAUAAUCCUGCCAGAAAUAGUUCAGAGAGUUCACGAUGGCGAACAGGAUGCGAACAGAAACCAAAAAAAUAAAGUAGGGUAUUAAACCA